RNAcentral lists this long non-coding RNA (709 nucleotides) under Salvia miltiorrhiza (redroot sage). RNAcentral's name for it is "long non-coding RNA (SMIL_LNC002177)". The record is from RNAcentral. Lineage: Eukaryota; Viridiplantae; Streptophyta; Magnoliopsida; Lamiales; Lamiaceae.
GGAGCAGCACGAACCUUAGUUGAUGGUCGAUCCUGAGACAAAGCAAUGGUUCUAAACACACAAAAUGCGAAGCAUUGGACUGGACCUAGAGGAGUUGAUGGACAAAAUGAUACCAGAAACAUGACAAGUAUGCACUCACUAAUCACUACAUUAAAUCACUAACUCUCAGGCUCUGUCCUAAAUCCUAAUCAAUUCGUUGUGGAGCUUUUCUGUUUCCUCUAUCCAGUUACCUUUUGGUACAUGAUGAAUUAGUUAAGGAAAUAUACAUCCCUUAUAUAUCAAAUAUCACAAACAGCAAUUUGAAUUUAUCCUUCAUGUGAGAACUAAAAUUUGGAUGGUUGUCACCACAUGCCUACUUAGCAUUAUUGUUGUGCCGGAUGCCAAGAAUUGAACCACACAUAGUAAUCAGAUUGUAAGAGAAACACAUCAUCAUCCAAUCAAGAUAACAAAGGAAUGGAAUUGGAUAGAAUGAAAAGAAACCAAGAACUUCAUAAUGCCAAAAUACCACAAUCAAGUAACUUCAUCAAAACCCACCAAACACAUAAUCUUGUUUCACCGGAGACAUACCGUGAUAAAAUUGCAAGUACUCUGACCAUCUGCUCUGACGUAGUUGUUGGUGGUGCUACUAUGAAUCCCUGCAGGAAUCUGCUUGCUAACGUCUACUGGCUUAGGAGCGGCAUUAGGCUUUGGCGAAGGUUCUUUACUAGCA